Molecule: long non-coding RNA, 204 nt
Filed under: Gossypium barbadense (sea-island cotton)
Lineage: Eukaryota; Viridiplantae; Streptophyta; Magnoliopsida; Malvales; Malvaceae
Description: long non-coding RNA (GBAR_LNC011566)
Source: RNAcentral
GGAAAUAUUAUUGGGGCUAUCUAAUCCCUGAUGAAUUCUUAUAUUAUGAAAAUGUUCCCUGAUCUUAACGUUACACAAAUGUUUUGUCAGUCUAAUUGGAUUAUAAUCUGCAUGGUUCUGUUUUUCUCUACUAUUUUUUUAUAUUCUGCCUGUUGGGAAUCAAUGAGAUAUUGUGUAUGGUGCCAUGAUUCAAUUUCUACCGAU